CACGCCGGACGAUUAUUGGGCCUAAAGCAUCCGUAGCCGGCUCUGCAAGUCUUCUGUUAAAUCCACCUGCUCAACAGAUGGGCUGCUGGAGAUACUACAGAGCUAGGGAGUGGGAGAGGCAGACGGUAUUCAGUGGGUAGGGGUAAAAUCCUCUGAUCCAUUGAGGACCACCAGUGGCGAAGGCGGUCUGCCAGAACACGUUCGACGGUGAGGGAUGAAAGCUGGGGGAGCAAACCGGAUUAGAUACCCGGGUAGUCCCAGCUGUAAACGAUGCAAACUCGGUGAUGCAUUGGCUUAUGGCCAAUGCAGUGCCGCAGGGAAGCCGUUAAGUUUGCCGCCUGGGAAGUACGGACGCAAGUCUGAAACUUAAAGGAAUUGCGGGNGGGAGCACAAG
This 394-nucleotide ribosomal RNA is filed under the name uncultured archaeon. RNAcentral describes it as "bacterial SSU rRNA". It matches the Rfam family "Archaeal small subunit ribosomal RNA", at positions 489 to 882 of the family's 1478-position model. The record is from RNAcentral.